UGGUAUUUUGACCAUACGAAGGUAUUGAAAUAAGAUUUUAAUUGAGUGCUAAGAGAAUGGAUUAAUAGGGAGUAGCUUUUUUAAUAAAAAUAUUAUAAUUUUAAUUAAAGAUUAAAAUGUCUUUAUAAAUAAGUGGGACAAGAAGACCCUAGAAUCUUUAUAUGAUAUUAUAUAUAUGUAUAUGUAUUAUAUUUUGUUGGGGUGACAUAAAAAUAUUAGAAAACUUUAUAUAGAUCUUUUUUAAAAAAAAAUGUUAAGAUACUCUAGGGAUAACAGCGUUAUUAUUUCGGAUAGUUCAUAUUGAUGAAAUAGUUUGCGACCUCGAUGUUGAAUUAAUGAGUCUUAUUAUUGAAGAAGGUAAUAAAGAGAGAUUGCUCAUCUUUUAAAUCAUUA
RNAcentral lists this ribosomal RNA (393 nucleotides) under Rhinonyssus vanellus. Its description in RNAcentral is "16S ribosomal RNA". The stretch from base 269 to 393 matches the Rfam family "Bacterial large subunit ribosomal RNA", at positions 2473 to 2598 of the family's 2925-position model. The record is from RNAcentral. Lineage: Eukaryota; Metazoa; Arthropoda; Arachnida; Mesostigmata; Rhinonyssidae.